RNAcentral lists this transfer RNA (78 nucleotides) under Blastopirellula retiformator. Its description in RNAcentral is "Planctomycetes bacterium Enr8 tRNA-Leu". The stretch from base 7 to 69 matches the Rfam family "tRNA", at positions 8 to 63 of the family's 71-position model. Rfam says of the family: Transfer RNA (tRNA) molecules are approximately 80 nucleotides in length. Their secondary structure includes four short double-helical elements and three loops (D, anti-codon, and T loops). The record is from RNAcentral. Lineage: Bacteria; Pseudomonadati; Planctomycetota; Planctomycetia; Pirellulales; Pirellulaceae.
GUGCGGUACGCAAACAGGCAAAGCGACGAAGCUCAAACCUUCGUGAUCGAUUGCGGGUUCGAUUCCCGCACGGGGCAC